UCAGUUUAAGACUUACAAAACUGGAAAACAAACCGUUACAUUGUGGCUCAUAAAAUCUACAUCCACAGCCCCGCAGAACUUGCAUCCUUGCAGCUAAACUUGAGGUGAUGACUCUAGUCAAUGAACAAUUCACAUCUUUGCUGUUGUAAAUACCAAUUACGUAUGGCCUAAUAGACAUAAAUGGCAUAGCAAGAGUGGCUGAAAGGUUGCUAUUAUCCUUUGUCUAGGGGCAGCCAAAGAGUUGCCAUAAAAACACCAGCACUACAGCAGCUGUAUCAAAUUUCCAUACGGUUCACUAGUUAUUAAGAACAUGCCCAAAAUUUAAGCGAAAGUGCAACAAAAAUCCCAUCAAAACAGAAUUCACAUGCAUAGUUCGUACAAAAUCCUGUCCACGUCAUAAUGGCAUCUCAAAUAAUUAGACAAAUCAAAGCGCAAGACGGAACCCAAAAAGUUUUAAAUAAUCAAAACGGUGAACAAGAAGAGAAAAAAGUAAGGGCUAUGCAUAAAGUAAAGAAAAAACCAAUUAAGAGAAAGCAGUGGGAGUGGUGAACAAAAAAGAAAAAAAAAAGGUGGAACCAGCAAAUUAGUAGCAUCAGAUGUUCAAACAAUCCUAAUAGUUUCCGAAAACAUGCCAAAAUAGUUUAAAAUAAAACCACUUUCAUGGCUGAUGUUCAUAUAUCUCUACAACGAGGAGAGGCCAUAAAUGCCAGGAUUUUGUUCAAGUCUCUCUAGUUUCCAAAAGCAUAAAUCAAAUACUGAAGAAGAUAGACACUGGAAAAAAAUACUGAGAAGGAUAAGUCAAGAAAAAAUACCGAGAAGGGAUUUUCCUUUUUUCUCUUUUCAUUCCUUUCAAUGACCUGUUGUGAGAGGAAAAGGGAUUUCCGAAACACAAUAUCAUAAACCUUCUCAGUCCACAUAUGAAAAGAAAUGAAAUUAGCUAACACAGCACAAUCAUCAACUCAAUGAGCAGAGAAGUAGAAGAAAGAAAAAUAAUCCAAUAAGAACGAGUUUGAAGCAAAUGACCUAAUGAGCAGAACAAUGUGAAACAAGAAGGAAAAAGGAGAGUUUAACUGUUUGAGCUCAAAAGCCCUCAUCCAAGACACGAAAAGUAUGCCAACAAAUCACUGCAAAAAAUUAUCCCAAUGGUUGAUGGAGAUGCAAAUUACUGUGACAACUCCUCAUCAUUGCCAAUUUUCCCAUAAAAGGAGAUUAACUGAAAAGCCUAAAUGAAUUUAAAGCAAAUGGAAGUUGAAAAUUCAAAAUAACAGCUCCUUAUCAUUGCCAGCUUUCCCAUUGAAAACAACAUUUUAUCAUAAUGAACCCAUUGUUCAUCAUCACUACGAGCUCAAACCAACAAGCAAGCAAGAGCACUGUUCACUAAUUGUGAAGACAUGCACAAAGAAGUUACAGACAAGCACUUGAGAGUACUAUCGACCAUAUUAGAGAAUUCAAAAUUCCAUAUAAUGUGCCUUUAACAUAUUUCAUCAGUAGGCAAAAUUACUUUCGUAGCAAUGUCAAAUUCCAAAAAUCAACAACAAUCAUCGCCAAGCUAAUUAGGCCAAGUAGCAAAAGCAUGAAUUGAAUAUUGAAAAUAGUGCUUAUUAAUGCUGAGAGAACCGCGAGAGAAACAACAUACAACUCUCAGCAUUCUAGUUUAAAAAAAAAAAGAAUUAAAAGGGAAAACACCGGUAUGAAAGGAAAAAAAAAAGUGAGAUACUCCUCUCCUCCUCUCCCUCGCUUCCUCACGAGCUCACUCCUUCCCUCUCUCGCAGAUUACUGCUCGUUGCUCCUCGACUCCCUCGCAGAUCUCCAAAUUCAACUCGGGUGCUUCUCUCCAUCUCCAAACUGAAGUCCGGCCUCUCUCUCCAUUUCCCUCUCUUCUCCAAACUGAAGUCUGGCCACUCUCUCCAUCUCCCUCUCUAAAGUAAGUCGCUGCCGUUUCUCUUCUACCGUUUGAUAUAUGUUGGUAAUUAUUUGGUAGUUAUUUUGUUGGUAAUUAUUUGGUGAAAAAUACCGGAUAAUAUAUGUAUUACCCAUGUUGAAAAAAAAAAUCAUUGUAUUCUACUUGCUUUUUCUGGAAGUACUUUAGAAUUGUCAUAGCAUCUCCUUCUACAAUCUUUUUCUAGAACUGAGACAUUUUUAUAUUCAUCAGCUUCAACAAUAAUAGAAUUAAAAUUUCGAGCAAUGUUAAUUUCCGCACAAUCAUUCAUUUCAAUAUGCUUUCUUGCCCUAAUGUUACGGACUCAACCAGUUUUCACAAUAGGUUUCAGCACAUCAGUAGAUUUACUUUCUGACUUACCAUUGCGACCACAUGCAAACGUCGCGUAUUUUAUAAUUUUAUCACUCCCUUUUUUACUAGUUAACUUCUUUACAGGAACCCUUUCUUGUUUACCAUAGGCAUUGUAAAAUUGUCACAUGUCCUCGUGACUAUCAAAUAACAUCCCAAGAGUCGGCUCAUAUUUUUCCGAUUGCACAUCUUCGACCCUACCUUCAUUUUCCAAAUUUUUCAUUUCUACAAAAUAAUUAUUAUUUCUAAAAAUUUAAAUUUAAAUUCUAAAUGGAACCAAAAUUUAAAUAAUUCUAAAUCAAACACAUAAUUUAAAUAAAAAGAUUUCUAAAUCAACACAAAAUUUAAAUUAGUAAAAAUUCUAAAUCCAACACAAAAUUUAAAUUUAAAAAAAUUCUAAACCUAACACAGAAUUUAAAUUAAAAAAAUUUCUAAAUCCAACACAAAAUUAAAAUUAAGAAAAUUUCUAAAUCAAACACAUUUAUCAUUUAACUAGUAAAUGCAGGAACAUUUAUAUUAUUAUGAUAUAUAACAAAAAAAUAAUAUUCAAAAUAAAAAAUCACUCUUUAUAUUCAGGUAAUUUACCAACUAGGUAUUUUGUUUCCAGAUCUAGAUCGGGUAGCGCUUCCGCGUUUGUGUAGAUUCAGAUCGGCUACUAAAUGGCAACUAAAGUAAGCAAAAAAUUUAAAUGGCGACCAGAGUAAUGCUUGUGGUAAGCAAUGAAUAAGCGAAUCGGUAAUGCUUGUGAUGAGAAGCACUACUCGUGAUGAGAAGUAAAGCGUGAAAGUGUUUUCGUUUCAUGUGGGGAAGAGAAAAAAUACUUUGUGAUGAGCAAAAGUGGUUUGUGAUAGAGCAAAAGCAUAAUGAAAAGUAAAGAGAAUAAUAAUAUAUUAUUCAAAGCUGAAAUUUUACAUGGGGAGGGGGAGGGGGAGAACACCCAAAACGGCAGCUUAAAACACCCGAAAGGCUGCUUUGUGCUGCCGUUUCAUCACGAGUAGUAAUGAUAUAUUAUUAUUACUUUUUCUCCCUUUAGGUGAAAUGACAGCUUUAAAUAAUAUAUUAUUAUUCUCUUUACUUCUCAUCACGUUUUUGCUCUAUCACAAACCAUUUUUCCUCUCCCCCACCUAAAACGAAAACACUUUUGCUCAUCACAAAGCAGCCUUCACGCUUUACUUCUCAUUUCAAGCAUUACCGAUUCGCUCAUUCAUCGCUCAUCACAAGCAUUACUCCGGUCGUCAUUCAUCCACAAGCAUUCAAAUUUUUUGCUUACUCUAGUUGCCAAUCAGCUCAACUCGUGGCCGAUCUAAAUCUACACAAACGCGAAAACGUUGCCCGAUCUAAAUCUGGAAGCAAAACACCUAACUGGUUAUAAAGAGUGAUUUGUUAUUUUGAAUAUUAUUUUUUGUUAUAUUAUACUAAAAUGAUAAAUGUGUUUGAUUUUAAAAAAAACUUAAUUUAAAUUUUGUGUUGGAUUUAGAAUUUUUACUAAUUUAAAUUUUGUGUUUGAUUUAGAAAUCUUUUUAUUUAAAUUAUGUGUUCGAUUUAGAAUUUUUUUAAUUUAAAUUUUGUGUUCGAUUUAGAAUUUUUUUAAUUUAAAUUUUUAGAAAUUUAAUGGAUUAAAUUAUUGUUGCAUCAAAAUUUUGUAAAAAUUUAUAAUAAUUUAUUCUUAAUACGAAUAUUAAUUAUUUUGUAGAAAUGAAAAAUUUUAAAAAUGAAGGUAGAGUCGAAGAUGUGCAAUCGGAAAAAUAUGAGCCGACUUUUGAUAUGUUAUUUGAUAGUCAUGAGGAAAUGUGACAAUUUUAUAAAGCCUAUGAUAAACAAUAAGGGUUUCUUGUGAAGAAACUAACAAAUAAGAAAGAGAGUGAUGAAAUUGUAAGAUACGCGACGUUUGCAUGUGGCCGUAAUGACAAGUCAGAAAGUAAAUCUACUGAUGUGCUGAAACCGAAACCUAUUGUGAAAAUUGGUUGUGAUGCUACAAUUGGAGGUUGUGUUAAAUGAAGAUGGAAAAUGAGUUCUUCGAACUUUAAACAUUCAGCACAAUCAUGGAUUGAGUCCGUAAUGUUAGUGCAAGUGCAAAAAAGCGUAUUGAAAUGAAUGAUUGUGCGAGAAUUAACAUUUUUUGAAAUUUUAAUUCUAUUGUUGUUGAAGCUGGUGGAUAUGAAAAUGCCUCAUUUCUAGAAGGAGAUACUAUGGCAAUUCUAAAGUACUUCCAGAAAUAAGUAAGCAUUGUUUUCAACAUAGUUUUUCAACAUGUGUAAUACAUAUACCAAUCGGUAAUUAUCACCAAAUAAUUGCCAACAAAAUAAUUACCAACAAAAUAAUUACCAAAAAAAUACCACCAAAAUAAUUACAAAUAUAUACCAAACAAUAAAAGAGAAACGACAGCAACUUACUUUGGAGAGGGAGAGAAGCGCCCGAGUUGAAUUUGGAGAUCUACGAGGGGGACGAGGAGCAGCGAGCAGAGAGCAGUAAUCUGCGAGCGAGGGAGAGAGGGAAGGAGUGAGCUCAUGAGGAAGUGAGGGAGAGGAGGAGAGGAGUAGAUCUCACUUUUUUUGUUCUUUUAUACCGGCGUUUUCCCUUUUAAUUCUUUUGUUUUUUGUUUUAACUAGAAUGCUGAGAGCUGCUAAUGAGAGAAACAAUAUUAAUUAUGUAUGCCAUUUCUCUCGAGGUUCUCUCAGCAUUCUAGUUAAUAAGCACUACUCCACAAUAACCAAAAGUGACAGAUUCUAUUAUUUUUCAGAAAACAAAGACUUCAAGGACAGCAAAUUUGUUCUUUUCACGGAGAAACCACCAAAAUAAUUACAAACAUAUACCAAACGAUAGAAGAGAAAUGACAGCAACUUACUUUGGAGAGGAAGAGAAGCGCCCGAGUUGAAUUUGGAGUUCUACAAGGUUCUCUCAGCAUUCUACUUAAUAAGCACUACUCCACAAUAACCAAAAGUAACAGAUUCUAUUAUUUCUCAAAAAACAAAGACUUCAAGGACAACAAAUUUGUUCUUUUCAUGGAGAAACCACCCCCCCCCCCCCCCCCUCCCCCAAAAAAAAAG
This 5334-nucleotide long non-coding RNA is filed under the name Citrus maxima (pomelo). Its description in RNAcentral is "long non-coding RNA (CMAX_LNC002549)". The record is from RNAcentral. Lineage: Eukaryota; Viridiplantae; Streptophyta; Magnoliopsida; Sapindales; Rutaceae.